GGUUCAGACCGUCGUGAGACAGGUCGGUCUCUAUCCGCUGUGGGCGUAAGGGAUUUGAGAGGAGCUGCCCCUAGUACGAGAGGACCGGGGUGGACAGACCUCUGGUGUGCCAGUUGUCGUGCCAACGGCAUCGCUGGGUAGCCAUGUCUGGCAGGGAUAACCGCUGAAAGCAUCUAAGCGGGAAGCUCGCCUCGAGAUGAGAUCCCUCUUCCCGUAAGGGAGUAAGAUCGCAGGUAGACCACCUGCUUGAUAGGCAGCGUGUGUAAGCGUAGCAAUACGUUGAGCUAAGCUGUACUAAUGAUCGAGGGCUUC
This 312-nucleotide ribosomal RNA is filed under the name Anaerolineaceae bacterium. Its description in RNAcentral is "bacterial LSU rRNA". It matches the Rfam family "Bacterial large subunit ribosomal RNA", at positions 2608 to 2925 of the family's 2925-position model. The record is from RNAcentral. Lineage: Bacteria; Bacillati; Chloroflexota; Anaerolineae; Anaerolineales; Anaerolineaceae.